UGGUGCCUCACCUCCAUGAUGGCUGUCUUGAAUUGCCUCCUCAUCUCACAUGUGCCUUAAUAUCUCUGCUAGGUUUAGGAUGGUGCAGAGAGCCUCCACCAAGAAGAGUGUACUACAAUUGCUGCUGAGCCCUAAUAGACAGAGCGCAAUCUCCCACGGCGAUAGCAGCAUGUGCUUCACCUAAGACCAAGAUGUGUAAAGCAUGUUCCAGUGUCUUGUUUGAAGUGGAAGAUGUGGAUGCCAAAGCUGGUGCUGACCCAUACCACUGCAGCAAAUAUGUGAAGGAACACCUGAGAGACUUUGAGCAUGCAACUGAGUGCAAGUGAACACCUUUAGCUGAACCCCACCAUAAGGAAAACAAAACCACUGUCUGUUCAGGAACUAAACUUGGAAAGAUGUACAGCAAAACUGGGGCAACAGCAUUCAGGUCACUAAUGGGAGUGCUGCAUGUUGUCUGAUCCAGACCCCUGUGUGAUGCCUCCUUUUCCUUUUGAUAGUGAAGCAUUGAUAACUACUAUUAAGGGUGUUCCUCGCAACAGUGGGGAUUCUGGAGCAUUUUUGUACAUCUCAGUUGCAGAAGCAUUUUCACCAAUGUACCCUUGCUGCACCGUACUGAGAUCAAUCCAGUAACUUCACAUCUGUUGUUUCUCAUCUGCGGCUGAAUGGAUGUCAGUCACAAUGAAGACUGAAGAGGGAGAACGGCAUUAAAGCUCUCCUUGGCUCUGUACAGCUCUCUUUCAGUACACACAUGCUCUUACUUCUGUGCUCAGAACAUUCAAAAUAGUUAUCAAGGAUGUAGAAAAUUUUACUAUUGUAAUUACAGCAAAAGGCUACCUGUCAGGAAAAUAAAUGCAAGUAAUCAGACA
Molecule: long non-coding RNA, 866 nt
Filed under: Phasianus colchicus (ring-necked pheasant)
Lineage: Eukaryota; Metazoa; Chordata; Aves; Galliformes; Phasianidae
Description: lncRNA (ENSPCLG00000021108.1)
Source: RNAcentral